UUCUCCGGUGCAGGAGGCCUUUUUCGCUGCACCGGUACGCAACAAUGAAAACCGGCCACGUGGAUUUCUUUGAUUUUUGUGGUGCGAAAGAUUAUGGCAAGAAAACAGAACCACGACACUUAAACCUCAUCAUUAACACUCCAAAAGUAACCAUGGUUACUUUGGAUUGAUUGUAUCGAGGCUUUCAAGAUUUGUUCAUCUUUCAAUUUUCCAAGUCACCGUCAAUAACAACCACCACCGCCUCCCUCUCCUCUACGAUCGCCGGCAGUCUUGAAGCACCGUUAACCGCUCUCCUCCCUACCACUGCACCGUCGUUUUCACAUCACUCACUUUCCCUCUUCUCUUUUCUUCUGGUUCGGAACCCUAAACUUUUUCCUCUUCUCUCGCUUUCAAUUUUUCUCUCUUCUAUUCAAAUUAGAACCCUAAAUCUCAUUUGUCCUCCAACAACAACAUCUCGUAUUGUAAACUGAGGCUUGCAUCGACAGUAUCUCUACAUCUCUGAGCAGAGUUGGUGGUGAUUGCAAAUUGAGAGUUGGCGAAGUCUAGGGUUGCAGCCAAGAACUAGGAGAUUCACCUCAUUUUCAUAUUUUACCUAAUACAAUUACUCAUUGAGUUGGUUUCACUACACUCCUUCCUUUAUACUCAUCAUUUAUGCAAUCUGUGUUAGUAUUUUAUAAUCAUUACUCAAACAAAAAAUAGAAUUACUCAUUGAGUUGGUUCAAUGUGAAAAUAAGGUAUGGCUGCACCAAAGUCAUCAGUUUAUGGCAUUGUAGGCGAGAGGUAAGAGUCGGCAAAGUUUAUUUUCAUUCAUAUAACAUUGAGCAUAUCGAUAUAUAGUGCUUAUAGUGCUUCCGUUCUGCAGAAACUUUUCACUGUAAGUAAAACUCUAUCUCGAUAAAUCAAAACUCGUUAAAAAUGAAGAGAUCGGUUUAAUUUUAUUGAAAAUUUUGAUCUUCAUUGAACUUGCCUAAAUGUAUAAAGUUCUUUUGGUGGAUAUAGGAGAUAAUUUCUACUGGUUUAUUCAUUCUGCAAAAUAAAGCAGUGGUAAAGUUUUAAUUUAGGUUCUACGCUUAAAACAGUUUUGUAAUGGGGUUGCAACAAGAUAUAUGACAUGUUGAUUUGGAAAACAUGAUCAACAUCAAAGAGGUGUAGCAAAUGGAAUUUGCAUAACUGCUAUGCAGCAUGCAAAGUAAUUGGCCCUGCAGCAGGUAGUGCAAUAACAAAUGAGAAAGGAGGCUAACAUUAAAGAUAAAUAUGAAAUCUCAUGACAAGGGUCAAAGCUUCUAAAUGAGCUGCCCCCUCAGUGAGCUGCAUUUCAAUGUUAAUCUUAUCAUAACAAAGCUUCUAAAUGAGCUACCCCCUCAGUGCUUGGUUCACUUGUUUAUUAAUCUAGCUGAAUGUCAUUGGCUUGGCAGGCUAUGAAGGUUGAUUCAACAAUAAUUCUCAUCAAUGAAGAUGGAAACUAGUGUCAAAACAAUUGGUGCUGUUGGAUUUUGGCAAGAGAACAAUGCUGCUGAACUGAAAAGGCCAUUGAAGCUCUUGAAAGUGUUGCAUAGUAAAUUUAGAAAAGUUCUCAGAAUUGACGCUGUUAUUCAUGUUGUUACAUAUAUAGAUUGCUGCAAGAGACCUCUGGAUGUAUUUAUAGUAUUAUUAAUUAUUUUAUGUCUCAUGUUGGGUACAAAUUGUAAUACCGCCACACACAUAUUGUAAGAAUUUGGACCUAUUUUUCUGUAUUACUAAUAUAUGCAAUUUGAUUUCUA
Long non-coding RNA from Trifolium pratense (red clover), 1760 nucleotides. RefSeq lists it as uncharacterized. The record is from RefSeq and is a predicted model, not a curated record. The transcript is spliced from 3 exons. Lineage: Eukaryota; Viridiplantae; Streptophyta; Magnoliopsida; Fabales; Fabaceae.